RNAcentral lists this ribosomal RNA (465 nucleotides) under Vreelandella stevensii. Its description in RNAcentral is "partial 16S ribosomal RNA". It matches the Rfam family "Bacterial small subunit ribosomal RNA", at positions 338 to 795 of the family's 1533-position model. Lineage: Bacteria; Pseudomonadati; Pseudomonadota; Gammaproteobacteria; Oceanospirillales; Halomonadaceae. The record is from RNAcentral.
CCUACGUGGAGCUGCAGUGGGGAAUAUUGGACAAUGGGCGAAAGCCUGAUCCAGCCAUGCCGCGUGUGUGAAGAAGGCCUUCGGGUUGUAAAGCACUUUCAGUGGGGAAGAAAGCCUUGGGGCUAAUACCCUCGAGGAAGGACAUCACCCACAGAAGAAGCACCGGCUAACUCCGUGCCAGCAGCCGCGGUAAUACGGAGGGUGCGAGCGUUAAUCGGAAUUACUGGGCGUAAAGCGCGCGUAGGCGGUCUGAUAAGCCGGUUGUGAAAGCCCCGGGCGCAACCUGGGAACGGCAUCCGGAACUGUCAGGCUAGAGUGCAGGAGAGGAAGGUAGAAUUCCCGGUGUAGCGGUGAAAUGCGUAGAGAUCGGGAGGAAUACCAGUGGCGAAGGCGGCCUUCUGGACUGACACUGACGCUGAGGUGCGAAAGCGUGGGUAGCAAACAGGAUUAGAUACCCCUGUAGUC